This 245-nucleotide ribosomal RNA is filed under the name uncultured Eubacteriales bacterium. Its description in RNAcentral is "uncultured Clostridiales bacterium partial 16S ribosomal RNA". It matches the Rfam family "Bacterial small subunit ribosomal RNA", at positions 524 to 768 of the family's 1533-position model. The record is from RNAcentral. Lineage: Bacteria; Bacillati; Bacillota; Clostridia; Eubacteriales.
UACGUAGGGGGCGAGCGUUGUCCGGAAUGACUGGGCGUAAAGGGCGUGUAGGCGGUUGUCUAAGUCUGGAGUGAAAGUCCUGUUUUUAAGGUGGGAAUAGCUUUGGAUACUGGAUGACUUGAGUGCGGAAGAGGUAAGUGGAAUUCCCAGUGUAGCGGUGAAAUGCGUAGAGAUUGGGAGGAACACCAGUGGCGAAGGCGACUUACUGGGCCGUAACUGACGCUGGGGCGCGAAAGCGUGGGGAG